ACGUCCUUAGUGUAAUGGUAGCACAGCGCUCUUCAAAAGCGUAAAGGUGAGCGUCCAAAACUCAUGGUGAGGGUUCGAAUCCUUCAGGACGUG
RNAcentral lists this transfer RNA (93 nucleotides) under Caudoviricetes sp. RNAcentral's name for it is "tRNA-OTHER". It matches the Rfam family "tRNA". Rfam says of the family: Transfer RNA (tRNA) molecules are approximately 80 nucleotides in length. Their secondary structure includes four short double-helical elements and three loops (D, anti-codon, and T loops). Further hydrogen bonds mediate the characteristic L-shaped molecular structure. tRNAs have two regions of fundamental functional importance: the anti-codon, which is responsible for specific mRNA codon recognition, and the 3' end, to which the tRNAs corresponding amino acid is attached (by aminoacyl-tRNA synthetases). tRNAs cope with the degeneracy of the genetic code in two manners: having more than one tRNA (with a specific anti-codon) for a particular amino acid; and 'wobble' base-pairing, i.e. permitting non-standard base-pairing at the 3rd anti-codon position. The record is from RNAcentral. Lineage: Duplodnaviria; Heunggongvirae; Uroviricota; Caudoviricetes.